GGGUUGUGAGGUUAAGCGACUAAGCGUACACGGUGGAUGCCCUGGCAGUCAGAGGCGAUGAAGGACGUGCUAAUCUGCGAUAAGCGCCGGUAAGGUGAUAUGAACCGUUAUAACCGGCGAUUUCCGAAUGGGGAAACCCAGUGUGACUCGUCACACUAUCAUUAACUGAAUCCAUAGGUUAAUGAGGCGAACCGGGGGAACUGAAACAUCUAAGUACCCCGAGGAAAAGAAAUCAACCGAGAUUCCCCCAGUAGCGGCGAGCGAACGGGGAGGAGCCCAGAGCCUGAAUCAGCAUGUGUGUUAGUGGAAGCGUCUGGAAAGGCGCGCGAUACAGGGUGACAGCCCCGUACACAAAAGCGCAUGUGCUGUGAGCUCGAUGAGUAGGGCGGGACACGUGGUAUCCUGUCUGAAUAUGGGGGGACCAUCCUCCAAGGCUAAAUACUCCUGACUGACCGAUAGUGAACCAGUACCGUGAGGGAAAGGCGAAAAGAACCCCGGCGAGGGGAGUGAAAAAGAACCUGAAACCGUGUACGUACAAGCAGUGGGAGCACAGGUUUACCUGUGUGACUGCGUACCUUUUGUAUAAUGGGUCAGCGACUUAUAUUCUGUAGCAAGGUUAACCGAAUAGGGGAGCCGUAGGGAAACCGAGUCUUAACCGGGCGUUAAGUUGCAGGGUAUAGACCCGAAACCCGGUGAUCUAGCCAUGGGCAGGUUGAAGGUUGGGUAACACUAACUGGAGGACCGAACCGACUAAUGU
Molecule: ribosomal RNA, 757 nt
Filed under: Salmonella enterica subsp. enterica serovar Kentucky
Lineage: Bacteria; Pseudomonadati; Pseudomonadota; Gammaproteobacteria; Enterobacterales; Enterobacteriaceae
Description: partial 23S ribosomal RNA
Rfam family: Bacterial large subunit ribosomal RNA
Source: RNAcentral